This 301-nucleotide ribosomal RNA is filed under the name uncultured bacterium. RNAcentral describes it as "partial 16S ribosomal RNA". It matches the Rfam family "Bacterial small subunit ribosomal RNA", at positions 509 to 809 of the family's 1533-position model. The record is from RNAcentral.
CAGUCGCCGCGGGAAUACGGAGGGCGCGAGCGUUACCCGGAUUUACUGGGCGUAAAGGGCGUGUAGGCGGCCUGGGGCGUCCCAUGUGAAAGGCCACGGCUCAACCGUGGAGGAGCGUGGGAUACGCUCAGGCUAGAGGGUGGGAGAGGGUGGUGGAAUUCCCGGAGUAGCGGUGAAAUGCGCAGAUACCGGGAGGAACGCCGAUGGCGAAGGCAGCCACCUGGUCCACUUCUGACGCUGAGGCGCGAAAGCGUGGGGAGCAAACCGGAUUAGAUACCCCGGUAGUCCCUGUCUCUUAUAA